RNAcentral lists this long non-coding RNA (987 nucleotides) under Lynx pardinus (Iberian lynx). Lineage: Eukaryota; Metazoa; Chordata; Mammalia; Carnivora; Felidae. The record is from RNAcentral.
UUCCACCACGCCGGCCACAAAUAGUGCCGAACAUCAAGGAGGUAAGAGAGACAGGGGAGGCAGAUGCGGCCGCCUGCAAAACGCGGCCUGGAGCUACUGGAGGAGUCGGGCUCUUUCUCACGCAGUCUUCAGGCAGAGCUGGGAUUUCUUCCCUUCACACUUCUCCCCCACGCCUCCACGGUCCCUCCUGCCACCCAGCCUUCCUUAGUUGGGAAGGUGGAUAUUUUAAUAACCAGUAAAUAAUAAAUACACAAUCUUAGGUUUGGUUAGGUUUUCAAAGUCGUCUCUCCAUUUAGAUCCUAAGAUCCUUGAAACACAGGAUAGCUUAGGACUUUUUUUUUUUUUUAAGUGCAGGAAAUUAGAAAUUUGGAGAGGGAUGGAGAUAGACUGCUAGUGCAGGGUUUUGCUUUGGGUUUGUUUGUUUGUUUGUUUUAAACUGGCUAUGAAGUUUACUCUCCCACAGAGUGGCAACAGAUCUCAGGGGAAGGAGGUGGGAAGCUACUUAAGUUCGAAGAAAACGCAGAUGUUUGGAAGGAAUUUCCAGAAAUAACCGAAGGAAAUGUUUUCUUGUUUAUGAAUGCUGAAAUCUGUGGUCUCUUUAGGAAGAUCACUGAGCCUUUUACGUAGAUUUUAUGGUACAGGCGAGAUACUGGAUAUUAAUUUUUUCUUAUAAUGGCACAGAACCUCAAUUCUUAAAGCUAUUCACGUAGGAUAUCACUGAGGUACGCACAGAGGGUUUCAGUUAAUCUUACAAUUGUAUUUUAUAUAGAAGAGGGUGGGGGAGCAGGGGGGAAAUAAACAUGUCUCAGCGCCUGAGCAAGGCUUGAGUGUUUAAGAAACAAAAUUUGAGGAAGAAUCAGGAGCACAAAUUGUUCUAGAUGCUGGACUAGCUUAUUAGCCCAGCACAGUGACCCUCCCAGAGGAAGGCUGCCACGUUCAAAGCACCAAUGCAUCGAUAUUACCAAGUACUCCCUUUUUCUUUAAAGG